GGAGUCGGUCAAUUUUCAAAUGAUACUCAUGAAGAAAACUAAAAGGAAUUCUUAAUUAGACAUCCUACAAAUACUCCUGUUCCCCGCCACAUGAUGGUAAAAGAGUCUUCAAGUGCAUUGCAUGGUGUUACAGGUCAAUGGAUGAUAUCACUGCUUUCCACUACAAAUUCUAUUACAAAGGGAUUGUGGACCAUGGAGUGACAUGUUAGCAGGCUAUUGCGAGAGACUACUCUUAGAAAUUUGACAAUUACUUUUACAGUGACUAGCUUGUUCUACCAUAGAAGUCCCAAAUCCAAGUCUGAACUCAGUUGUAGAACAAAAAUAUGAAUCCUAAUAACCUGGUACGUAAACUUCAUGCCAGCUAUUUGAAUCUCAU
This 376-nucleotide unclassified non-coding RNA is filed under the name Hevea brasiliensis (rubber tree). The record is from RNAcentral. Lineage: Eukaryota; Viridiplantae; Streptophyta; Magnoliopsida; Malpighiales; Euphorbiaceae.